ACUCCUACGGGAGGCAGCAGUGGGGAAUAUUGGACAAUGGACGAAAGUCUGAUCCAGCAACGCCGCGUGAGCGAUGAAGGCCUUCGGGUCGUAAAGCUCUGUCAGAUGGAACGAAAGAAAUCAACCUAACACGUUGGUUGUUGACGGUACCAUCAAAGGAAGCACCGGCUAACUCUGUGCCAGCAGCCGCGGUAAU
RNAcentral lists this ribosomal RNA (196 nucleotides) under uncultured bacterium. Its description in RNAcentral is "partial 16S ribosomal RNA". It matches the Rfam family "Bacterial small subunit ribosomal RNA", at positions 335 to 524 of the family's 1533-position model. The record is from RNAcentral.